GAGAACUGCAUAACUGAAAUCUCAAAUGAUGGGGUAACGCCCGGAAGGGGAUUCACUGAUACUCCGAGUAGCGUCAGCCAGAUACAGUGGCUGGGGUUAUAAGCGCGGGAAAGUCGUGCGAAGCACACCCUAACGCUGAAAGGCGAGGAAAGAUUCAUAGAGGUAUGAGUUGUGUGUGACAGUGCGGGUGGGGCUGCC
This is a non-coding RNA of Clostridiales bacterium, 198 nucleotides long. The record is from Rfam. NCBI's taxonomy places the organism in Bacteria, Bacillati, Bacillota, Clostridia, Eubacteriales.